Molecule: ribosomal RNA, 2879 nt
Filed under: metagenome
Description: bacterial LSU rRNA
Rfam family: Bacterial large subunit ribosomal RNA
Source: RNAcentral
GAAAGUUACUAAGGGCGUAUGGGGAAUGCCUAGGCUCUCAGAGGCGAAGAAGGACGUGAUAAGCUGCGAAAAGUACCGGGGAUCCGCAAAUAGGAAUCGAUCCGGUAAUGUCCGAAUGGGGAAACCCGUAUUGAUGAAGUCAAUACAUCCUGGCAACAGGAAGCAAACCCGGAGAACUGAAACAUCUAAGUACCCGGAGGAAGAGAAAACAAUAGUGAUUCCGUAAGUAGUGGCGAGCGAAAGCGGAAGAGCCCAAACCCUGCCCGUUAAGGCGGUCAGGGGGUUGUAGGACCACAUUUAGUUCCUGUUAACGAAUCAGAAUUACCUGGGAAGGUAAGCCAGAGAAGGUGAAAGCCCCGUAUAAGUAAGUUAACAGAAUGAGUGGUAUCCUGAGUAAAGCGGGGUCGGAGACGCCCCGUUUGAAGCAGCCGGCACCAUCCGGUAAGGCUAAAUACUACUGAGAGACCGAUAGUGAACCAGUACUGUGAAGGAAAGGUGAAAAGAACCUUGAAUAAAGGAGUGAAAUAGAACCUGAAACCAUACGCUUACAAGCGGUCGGAGCCCUUUAGUGGGGUGACGGCGUGCCUUUUGCAUAAUGAGCCUACGAGUUGCUCCUCUUUGGCAAGGUUAAGUACUAUAGGUACGGAGCCGGAGCGAAAGCGAGUCUGAAUAGGGCGUAUAGUCAGAGGGGGCAGACGCGAAACUUUGUGAUCUACCCAUGACCAGGUUGAAGGGUGGGUAACACCACCUGGAGGACCGAACUAAUGAGCGUUGAAAAGCUCUUGGAUGAGUUGUGGGUAGGGGUGAAAGGCUAAUCAAACUGAGAAAUAGCUCGUACUCCCCGAAAUGCCUUUAGGGGCAGCCUCGAGGUUGAGUUUUAAAGAGGUAGAGCUACCAAUUGGACUAGGGGGUGUCACAACCUACCAAAUCCAGAUGAACUCCGAAUGCUUUAAAAUAUACUCGGGAGUGAGGGCUGGGGUGCUAAGGUCACAGUCCGAAAGGGAAAGAACCCGGAUCAACAGCUAAGGUCCCAAAAUCUACUCUAAGUUGAACUAAGGUAGUCCAGCUGCAGAGACAGCCAGGAGGUUUGCUUGGAAGCAGCAAUUCCUUUAAAGAGUGCGUAACAGCUCACUGGUCGAGCGGCAGGGCAUCGAUAAUAAACGGGCAUCAAGAGUAGUACCGAAGCUAUGAAUGUAGAAAUACGUGGUAGGGGAGCAUUCUAUUCAGCGGCGAAGGUAGGCUGUAAGGCCUGCUGGAGCGAAUAGAAAAGCAAAUGUAGGCAUAAGUAACGAUAAAACAGGUGAGAAACCUGUUCGCCGAUAGACUAAGGUUUCCUGAUCAACGUUAAUCGGAUCAGGGUUAGUCGGGGCCUAAGGAAAAGCCGAAAGGCGUAUUCGAUGGACAUCAGGUUAAUAAUCCUGAACCGGCAUUAUAAAGUGAUGGGGAGACGGAGUAGUGACACAUCUGCGCACUGACGGAAUAGUGCGUUAAAGCCAGUAGGUAUAGAGAGGGUAGGUAAAUCCGCCCACUUUGCUGAAAGGCGAUAGUACCGAGCGGCUUCGGCCAAUCGGAUAAUGAUGGUAAACAGACUUCCAAGAAAAUCCUCUAAGCGUUUAUUAUAAUGCUGCCCGUACCGCAAACCGACACAGGUAGUCAAGGAGAGAAUCCUAAGGCGCUCGAGUGAAUCACGGCUAAGGAACUCGGCAAAUUAACCCUGUAACUUCGGGAAAAGGGGUGCCCCGAGCAAUCGGGGCCGCAGCGAAACGGCCCAGGCGACUGUUUAACAAAAACACAUGGCUUUGCGAAAUCGAAAGAUGAAGUAUAAGGCCUGACACCUGCCCGGUGCUGGAAGGUUAAGGGGGGAUGUUAGCCGCAAGGCGAAGCAUUGAACUGAAGCCCCAGUAAACGGCGGCCGUAACUAUAACGGUCCUAAGGUAGCGAAAUUCCUUGUCGGGUAAGUUCCGACCUGCACGAAUGGUGUAACGAUCUGGGCGCUGUCUCAGCCGUGAGCUCGGUGAAAUUGUAGUAGCGGUGAAGAUGCCGCUUACCCGCAACGGGACGGAAAGACCCCAUGAACCUUCACUAUAGCUUUACAUUGACUUUGGGUAAGUGAUGUGUAGGAUAGGUGGGAGGCUUCGAUCCCUGGCCGCCAGGUCAGGGUUAGCCAACGGUGAAAUACCACCCUUCACUUAUCUGGAGUCUAAUCCUAACAAGGAGACAUUGUAUGGUGGGUAGUUUGACUGGGGUGGUCGCCUCCAAAAGAGUAACGGAGGCUUUCAAAGGUACCCUCAGCACGCUUGGUAACCGUGCGCGGAGCGCAAUAGCAAAAGGGUGCUUGACUGUGAGGCCGACAAGCCGAUCAGGAACGAAAGUUGGAUAUAGUGAUCCGGUGGUUCCGCAUGGAAGGGCCAUCGCUCAAAGGAUAAAAGGUACUCUGGGGAUAACAGGCUGAUCUCCCCCAAGAGCUCACAUCGACGGGGAGGUUUGGCACCUCGAUGUCGGCUCGUCACAUCCUGGGGCUGGAGAAGGUCCCAAGGGUUCGGCUGUUCGCCGAUUAAAGUGGCACGCGAGCUGGGUUCAGAACGUCGUGAGACAGUUCGGUCCCUAUCUGUUGUGGGCGUAAGAAGCUUGAGAGGACCUGACCUUAGUACGAGAGGACCGGGUUGGACGAACCUCUGGUAUGUCUGUUGUGGCGCCAGCUGCAGUGCAGAGUAGCCAUGUUCGGUAGAGAUAAGCGCUGAAAGCAUCUAAGUGCGAAACUCACCUCAAGAUGAGGCUUCUAUACAAGGGUCGUCAGAGACUAUGACGUCGAUAGGCUGCAGGUGUAAAGACAGUAAUGUCAAAGCUGAGCAGUACUAAUUACCCGGAAACUUUCUUGU